Molecule: transfer RNA, 68 nt
Filed under: Marmota monax (woodchuck)
Lineage: Eukaryota; Metazoa; Chordata; Mammalia; Rodentia; Sciuridae
Description: tRNA.Gly
Source: RNAcentral
GGAUAUAGCUCAGUUGGUAGAGUGUUUGUGUCCCAUGCACAAGGCCCCGUGUUCAAUCCCCAGCACCA